Molecule: long non-coding RNA, 1577 nt
Organism: Hylaeus volcanicus
Lineage: Eukaryota; Metazoa; Arthropoda; Insecta; Hymenoptera; Colletidae
Exons: 2
Source: RefSeq, a predicted model, not a curated record
UGAUGCCUUUACAACAUGAGACUUCAUAAAAAAAAGAUACUAUCUUUUUACAAACAACCCUAAAAGAGAAAGCUGAAAAGUACAUAACUUUUUUUUUAGACACAGGUUUGUUUUUUAUUCAACCAUAAUCGUCACUAAAAGAAUGUCAAACCAUAAUCAAAAUCCAUAUAACAUUGAAUUAACCUUUCUAUAUUACCUAGCAGGAUUAAUGGUGUUUCUACUAUUCCUAAUUCCAUUUUCAUUGAGUGUAGGAUAAUUCAUUUUCUUUACAAGAUCUUCACUCACAAUUUUUUCUAUAGAACGAAUAUUUUUUAAAUUUUUCUAAUUAAAUUUUUUUUUUUAGAUCAUUAAAUCAAAGUCAAACCCAUGUACAUCUAUAAAAAGACACACAUGAUUUUAAAAAAUCCAAUCAUCGUCGUUUUCCCUCAACAUGGUUUUUUUAUUGGCUCAUUAGAAACAAAUUCAAUCAGUUUAUAAAAAAUUCUUUUGGUUUUCAAGUUCAAUUUAAUACAUGUUUUUAAUAACACCUGUUUGAUACCUUAUCCAGAACUAAACAAUGUCUUUUUUUUUCGAAGCUAGAACUAAAUUGAAGAAAGUUUUUAAAAUGAAAAAUGUCAUGAAUCAUGAAGACGAUUGGUAAAUUUUUGUUUACAAGGAUCAGUUUAGUGUUACUUAUUCUCUUUUACAAUUUAUUCGUACCCGGAAAAAAAAUAUCAAAAAGAAUUAUAUUGAAUUCUUUUUUAAUGUUACCGAAUUUACUAACGUACGUUACGUUGAUUUACUGAUCAAACUUCAAGCGCUUGCAAGUUUUUUAAUUCAUUAGAAAUGAAAGUUAAGAAUGUGUAGCAUUGCUUUUUAACGAAGUACCCUUUUUUUAUACCCGAGUAAUAAAAAUUUAUUUAAUUUCAAUUUGAAGAUGUUCAAGAAUUAAAAAAGAAGAUUUCUUUUUAUUCAAUAAAUUAUAUGUAUUACAAAAGAGAUGAAAAAAAGUCUUUGAUUAAGUAAAUAGCAGUUUCACGCUGGGCAUAGCGGAUGGAGUCUUUCAUUUAACAUGUUGAAUGAAUUAAUGCCUUCAUUAUGAGCGAUAAAACAAUAACGCCUGAUCUACUAUCAGAGAGUGUUAAUGAAUGAAGUUUUUCAUUCCUGAUUCAACAUAUGGGCACUUCUCUGCGGACGCGCCUUAGUCAAUCGUGUUAGAUUAGUCUAGCAAGCAUUGAGAGCGAAUCCCACUGAUUGUUGAUUAGCCAAGGAAAAAACUCUCCGUUUCAUUUAGUCCUCCCCGUGUGAAAUAGGCUGUGAAGCCAAAUGACGAACUUUAAAAAGAUGUCUUGCGCUAUAGUUUUUACGUGGGAAAAAGUGCUUUUCUUUCAUUAAAAAACUUUUUUAAAAGUAAUUUAUACCAUUGGUUUAAACGCUUACAAUUAUAUAGUUAAACGGAUAAAUUGUUAGUAUUUCUUUAAUGAGAUUAAAAAACAACAUAUAAUUUAGCAAAAUUGUUUGAAAAAAAAAAAACAGAAAUUAUAGUGAUGAGUAGAAAUUAUAACGAUGAGAAGAAAUUUUAUUUAUUAAAAUAAAAA